CACACACAGUCUGGUCAUGCCAAGCAGCCAGAUGAACACACUGCUACACAGAGCAGCAUACACCAGGGGCCACACCAGUGGGUGGUACAGAGAAAUUUGUGUUGAGAUUGGAGGUGAGAAGGUGCAGGGAAGAAGGAUCUCCUCAAGGUGGUGUUGCAUCCAUCCCCUCUGCUGACAAUGCCCUCAAGUUCCUCUGCUUGGCCAACUCUCCACUCUGCUCAGGUCUCUCCUCCUUCAGGAAACCUUCCCUGAUUGCCUCCCUACUCUCCAGGCUGUUUAUCAGGCUGUGUCCCAUUGUUUGGGCUCUUAGUGCCUUGAAUCAUAUUAGUCUGUAUAAGUCCCUGACUUCUCCCUUGGAAUGUGAGGUCUGGGGGUGCUGGCACUCCGUCUUCCUUAUCUCAGGGUCCCCAUUGCCCAGCAUUGGACCAGGAAGACCACAGUGUCAGGGGGCCAGCAGGGGUUGUGGAACUGCACAGACAGGAAGGGGUCAGCAGAGCCAAAGGAAAGGGAGAAGGUCAGGCUUGUGGGUGGUGACAGGUGCCUGUCUGCUUGGAGGUUUGCUUUUAAACAGGUUUGCUUGGAGCUGAGGGUCCCUACAGGAGCAAGGUGGCAGGUGGCUCUGGAGAGGUGGCUUGUCCCCAUCCCAGUCCUCACAGCCAUGAAUGCUGUGUUUGCAGGAACUCUGGGGAGAGUGCCGUGGCUUCUCCCACAUUUCUUCAAAUAAAAUCUGGGCCCAAAUGCCCCUAGGCAGCUCUUCUCUGCAGAAUUGCCCUGUGUGUUUGUUUUGCCACCGUGGGCUGAGCUGACUGCAAGGGCUCAGAACACAGCCCAGGCAGACGCUGGGUGUGCAAGGGCAGGGCAUGUUUGUGUAUGGUUAGGGGACAAACACAACCUGAUAUCACGGUCAGAGCUGAGCUGUUGGCUUUAAUUCUGCAUUUCUUGCUCCUGAGGCUUUGAAAAACAAAGCACGCUUGGGGCGGGCUCACUUGGGGAAAAGACGGGAGCUCUGGUCUUAUCCUGAAGCAUCACAGUCUGCUCAGAGGAGAGUUAUGGACUCUUCCAAUGCUGGCUGGUCUUGAACUCCUGACCUCAUGAUCUGCCUGCCUCGACCUCCCAAAGUGCUGGGAUUACAGGUGUUAGUCACCAUGCCUGGCCGAGAAAAGAAGAUUUAAGAAAGGAAGCUAGAAGUUGUUCAUCGAAGGGAAGAGAAUCAGGAAAUGGUAAAAGUCACAGAUAUUAAGCAGAAAGUACUCAUUCCCUAAAGCCAGGAUUGAACCCUGGCCACCACUGUAAAAUGGUGGAGACCAAAAGAAAGGACUGCCACGUGGUUACAAGGUCAAGCUGCCAAGGACAUAAGACAAGAUGGAGACCUGCAGCACAGUUCGUUACUGACCAGUUUGCGGGGCUGGCUUGAACAGUGGGCUCAUGGGGUACUAGGCCAUGCUCUAUCCUCAGGUAUUCCUCCUUAUGACAGAACCAUGCAGAAAGACACACAAAGUACACCAGAUUGGCUGCAGCUUAAGAUUAGCCUCACAAAUCCUUUUUUUCCAUGCAUCAAAAUCUUACAGAGGAUAUAAACAGUGAUUUUCUCAUUCAUUCAACUGGUUUGCACAGGGAGAGGGAGACCAGAAGUCUGACUGGGCUUCAGUCUGAAGCUUGGAAUUGAGUUUGAGACAAAAAGCUGCCUCAGGAGGGUUUAUGGACUCAUCAAGUCCCAGGUGGUCCUCACCAGACUGCAGCCAGCAGCCAACAGCCAACAGGGUCGCUCCUCUGCUGCUUCCUUAUGUAAGUCAAAUGCUAAAGUAAAGCUGUAGAGCUGGGUCAUCCUCAAACAAGGGAGAGAAAAGGGAGUUCUGUGAUUUUGGGUCCUGGCCUAGUAAAAUGCCUUUCAAAAGGAAAAAAAAAAAAAAAAAAAAAAAACCUCACAUAGAAAAGCUUCCUGUAUUCGCAGGGCUGUGUUAACUACCGACAUGUUGGAGAAAAGAAAAAAAAAAAAACAGCUUAAGUGCAGGGCAGGGAAGGUGCCUGGGGGGAAAAAACUUCUUGCUCUAUGCAAAUGGGUUCCUCCAAAGGGGAGAGAUUCUUAGUCACUGGACCCUCCUUCUCGUUCAGACUGAGCCAUGAGAGGAAAGAUUCAAUGGGUGUGUGGUGGGAGGGGGCGGUGGGCAGAAAAUGCUGACCAGCUGGCUGUGCAGGGCCCCUGGCACCUAAGAUUUCCCUGGGUCCCAGGCAGCAGACACGGCUCACUCCUGCCCUGCGUGGCUGUUGGAUGCAGCACAGGCAUGCGUUGGACACAGCCACAUGCCCCAGCCAGGAGGGGAGGGGGGAGCGGGUAGCUGCGGUGCACCCAUUUGUCCACCAUGUGUGCUUGUGGCUGUUGGGAUGGGGGUAGGGGACGUGCCUCUAAGAACAGAUGAAAAUCACAUUGUUCUGAAUUGCAUAUCUGAUGGCUAGGCCAAAUGCUCAUUCUACCUGGUAAUAUUUCUGCAGUUUGCAACAACACACUUAAUGCUGUAAAAGAAGAGAUAGGAGCCACUUCAAACCAUGAAAGAAGAAAAGAAAAAUACCAUAGAAAAGUCUGCGGGUCUUGGCUGAUGCCAUAAUGGGGUGGUCAGGGGUGGAGCCAAGUCUAGGGGCCUCCUGGCAAUUAAGUCCUCGGCCAGAUGCCUUCAGUUGCCCCAGGACCUUAUUCUGGUUCCACGUGAUGGCUAGACCUCCAUGAAGGGAAACAAAGCCAACAUCUCUUUGACCUGAAAGAGAGAGAGAGGUGGCAGGGUUGUAUCCUGUCCUCUGUAACUGCGUCAUUCAUUCUUAAUUGGCUCACCAGAGGUUUGGUGCUUCAUCUGCCUUCAGAAAAAAGUCUGAGGAUGAGAAGCCUCAGAAACAAAGGUGAAAGAGGGUUUGGGACCACAUUUACUCACCCUCCAGGUAUCCCCAUAUGAGCCACCAAAAUGUUGCAGUCUUUCUGCUCCUCAGCUCAGCUAGGCCUGAGUUUUUGUCUCACAACCAGGAAGAAUUAGGUGUGCAGCUACUGGAGAGUGAGUGGAGUGAAUUCAUUAAGCAAAAGGAAAGCUGUCAGCAAAGAGUGGACCCAGGGGUGGUUCCCCUAUCCGAAGGUGGGAAAGGCCCCCCAUGUGAUUGGGUCUGGGGUCUUUUAUGGACUCAGAAUGGGAAGUGCAUGCUGAUUGGUUUGUGAGUAGGCAAAAAAGGUCAAAGUGAAGACACCACUCAAAGGUGGGCAUGGCAGUGUAGAAAACCAAUUAGGAAAGGGUAGGUCUAUGUAAAAUAGGUGAAGGGUGGGGAUCAAUCAGAGGAAAGUGCAACAAAUGGGAAGACAAGUUUGCAAACUGGUCCGAGGAUUUGACUUGUAGCUUUAGGCUUUAAACUGUCUUCGGCUUGAAGAUGGGGUUUCACCAGUGACCUGCCCCUGUCUGCCUAGGCAUUUGGCUGCCUUCUGCUGCUCUCAGCAGCAACCAUGUGGGGAUAGAGAGAGAGCCUUCCUUCUGUAUGUGCAGGUCCCUGAGUGCAGAGACAGUGAUGACUCCACACAGGCAAAGGCAGGAGAUGCUGGCCUGGAAGUAUCUGCAGAAGGCUCUCCCCUUGGCAUCAGGGGGUGCAGAGACGUUGGCUGAACCAAGAGCUUGCUGAAGGAAGUUUUUUCUAUAUUCCAGACAUCUGAGGGUUCAUCACCAAGAGAGGAGGCCUUGUGAGCAGUGCUGAUCUGGGAAGAAGGAAAUAUGGGCAGAGACAGAGAGGUCAGGGUGACAGCAGGAGCCCAGGGGACUGAGGGAAAAAAAUCACAUUAUUUAGGAGAAGGCAGAGGAGUUGAAGAGAUAGGUUUGGAGCUGACAACUUGGGUUGAAUGCUGCAAGAAAGAGGACUGUUCAUGUAAUUCAGAGUCAAAUACUUAGAGAGGACAGUGGACCAGCAUGAAGGCAGUGGGCUCCCCGGGAGAGGUGUUCCUGCCUGGAUUUAGAGCUUGUGGCUAAAUGAAUAUGGUAGGCAAAAUAAGGCCCCCAAAGAUAGCCACAUGCUAAUUCCUCAAACCUGUGAUCACGUAACCCUAUGUGGCAAAGGGGAUUUGGCAUAUGUGGUUCAAUGAAGGACCUUGAGAUGGGGAGAUUAUCCUAAAGUGUCCAGAUGGGCCCAAUCUAAUCACAUGAAUUGUUUAAAUCAGAGAAACUUUCCCAACUGUGGUCAGAGGGAGACGUGAUCACACACACAAAAAAAGUCAGAGAGAUGCUGGCUUUGAAGACGGAGGAAGGGGCCACAGGGAAUGGAGUGUGGGCAGCCUCUAGAAGCUGAAAAAAAAUCAUGAGGAAAUGGAUUUUUCCCGAGAGCCUUCAGAAAGGGGUGCAGCCUGUGACACUUUGACUUUAGUCCAGUCAGACCUGGCUAAAACUCUGACCUACAGCACUGCAAGGAGUUGGUGGGGUUGGUUUUUUGUUGUUGUUGUUUGUUUUUUUCGUUUUUGUUUUUGAGACAGAGUCUCGCUCUGACACCCAAGCUGGAGUGCAGUGGUGCGAUCUUGGCUCACUGCAACCUCUGCUUCCUGGGUUCAAGCAAUUCUCCUGCCUCAGCCUCCUGAGCAGCCUCCUGAGCAGAUUACAGGCAUGUGCCACCGUGCCCAGCUAAUUUUUUAGAUACCCAGCUAACUUUAAUAGAUACCAGGUUUCACCAUGUUGGCCAGGCUGUCCUUGAACUCCUGACCUCAAAUGAUUUGCCCACCUUGGCCUCCCAAAUGAUCUGCCCACCUUGGCCUCCCAAAGUGCUGAGAUUACAGGCAUGAGCCAUUGUGCCUGGCCUGUGUUAUUUUUAAGUCACCAUCUUUGUAGUGAUUCGUAACAGCAGCAACAGGAAACUCUUCUCUCCACCCACACCCUGCCCUGGCCACCAGCUCCGCCUCCCCAGUGUCUCUGUCCCCACUGCUUCUACCCAGACCAGCUCCUCCCUUCCUCUUUUCUGAACCACUGGCAUACCUACAGCUGGGCCACCUGCUUAGUGCUGCUCCCCUUUAGUCCACUCUGCUAGGUGCUUGAGUUAUCUUCCAAAAACCCAACUUAGAUGAGGACAAUUUCUACUGAAUACUGGUUUUAGUUUCUGUUACUUAAGGAGGUGUGUCCAGAUGUCCCAACUUGGCAUUCAAGCCACAGCUUCCUUCUUGGUCUUCUCUGCCGCUCUCCUUCUUGCCAUGUGCCAGGCAAACAUGUCUCCACACCAGUUCUCUGUGUCCUCCCUCUCCUUCACCACCUCUCCAGCGUUUCCCAUGUCGCCUGGACUGCCUUUCAUCCUCCCUAGUCUAGACAUGCUCAAGGGAUAUUGCUGCUCUUAAGUCACCCCUGCUGGGUAAUAAGAUCUAAAAUUACCCUCUAUAAGACUGCUCACAGCGUCAAGUGGCAUUUUCUGGGGUGAGAAGACCUCAUUCUAUCUUGUUUGCUGACUGCUUUACCAUCUGGCCUCCCCCAGUCCAUGCUAACUCUUCAGGACAGGAAUGGGUCUUGCUUUUCUACAUAUUUCCUUGAGAAAUGCCAGUGGAGAGUGUGCCUUAGUCUGUUCCAGCUGCUGUAACAAAUUGUGAUAGACUGGGUGGCUUAAACAACACAAAUGUAUUUAUCACAUACUGAAGGCUAGAAGUCUGUGAUCAGGGUGCCAGCAUGGUCAGGUUCUGGUGAGAUCCCUCUUCCUGGUUUGCAGAUGGCUGUUUUCUUGCAGUGUUCUCACAUGGGGGAGAGCAGAGACAGGAAGCUCUUGUAUCUCUCUCUCUUUUAUUUUUUUUCACCGAAUCUCACUCAGUCACCCAUGCUGGAGUGCAGUGGUGCGAUCUCAGCCCAAUGCAACCUCUGCCUCCUGGGUUCAAGUGAUUCUCAUGCCUCAGCCUCAUGAGUAGCUGGGACUACAAGCAUACACCACUGCAUCCAACUAAUUUUUGUAUUUUUCCUAGAGACGGGGUUUCACCAUGUUGGCCAGGCUUGUCUCGAACUCCUGACCUCAAGUGAUCCACCUGCCUCAGCCUCCUAAAGUGCUGGGAAUACAGGCAUGAGCCACCGUGCCUAGCCUCUUGUAUCUCUUCUAAGAGCACUAAUCCCAUUCAUGAGGGCUUCACCUUCAUGACCUAAUUCACCUCCUAAAGACUUCACCUCGGCCGGGCACAGUGGCUCAUGCCUGUAAUCCCAGCACUUUGGGGGGCUGAAGUGGGUGGAUCACGAUGUCAGGAGUUCAAGACCAGCCUGGCCAACAUGGCGAAACCCCGUCUCUACUAAAAAUACACUAAUUAGCCAGGCCACGCUACUUGGGAAGCUGAGGCAGGAGAAUUGCUUGAAACCAGAAGGCAGAGGUUGCAGUGAGCCGAGAUCACGCCACUGUGCUCCAGCCUAGGCAACAAGAGCAAAACUCCAUCUCAAAAAAAAAAAAAAAAAAAAACUUCACCUCUUAACACCAUCACAUCAGGGGUUAGGAUCUCAACAUAAAUUUGAGGGGAACAAACAUUCAUUCAGUAGGUAACAGAGGGUGAGCUUAAGUAGCUCAUAGAAAGAGGCAGAGUGGUGGAGACAUCUAAGACCUUUGGAAAAUAAUCCCAAUGGCUACUUUCUACUGCACUUGACAGUUGUCUAAUCAUGUACAAAUCUAUGAGCACAUUUGUGUCUCUCAAGCUGGUUUUACCAAGAAUCUUUAAAUCCAACUGCUGACAUUUACUAAGCACUUGGACUUUAAAACAAACCCCAGGAGGCAGGGAAAAUGCCAAAAGUUUCCCUACAGCUCACUAAAGGGAAGCAAAAAUAAAUUAGAAAAAAAAAAUUAAAAAGGAAGUUGUCAUUCAAAGUUGUCAUUCUCACAAAUGUCAGCUGGUGGAACUGCUACACACAAAUUACACUGUUAACUCCUCACCGUCAGCCUCCGAGACCAUGAUCAUUCUCCCUCCUGAAACAAUGAAAGCAUGGCUUUGAGAAGAGGCGUACCACCUGAGGUUCUGUGGCCAGGACAUGGCAGACUGGGACUAGAGCUGGACAUUUUGCCCCAAGGUGAUGGAUCCCAUCCUGAGCCUUAUACACUUGAGGAAUUUUCUCUACCUUCCUCACACAGAAGCCACUUGCUCACUUGUGUUCCAUCUUGUGUGCUUGAGCUGACAUGUGCAUACACCACCUGUUAUGGGCUGAAGUGUGUCCCUGCCCCAAAUUUAGAUGUUGAAGUCCUCACUCUCAGCACCUUAGAACCUAACCAUGUUUGAAGAAAAAAUCUUCUGAGAGGUAAUUAAGCUACAAUGAAGGCUUCAGGGUGGGCCUUAAUCCAAUGUGACUGGUGUGCUUAUAAGAAGAGGAAAUUUGGACCCAUGGAAAGACAACAGAAGCAUACACAGACAGAGGGACACCGCGUGAAGACACUGUGAAAAGGUGGCCAUCUGCAAGCCAUGGGGAGAAGCCUUGAGAGAAACUAGCCCUGCCAAUGCCUUGAUUUUGGACUGCUAGCCUCUAUAACUGUGAGAAAAUAAAUCUCUGUUGUUUAAGCCACUCUAUCUGUG
RNAcentral lists this long non-coding RNA (7516 nucleotides) under Homo sapiens (human). RNAcentral's name for it is "HSALNT0360336". The record is from RNAcentral. Lineage: Eukaryota; Metazoa; Chordata; Mammalia; Primates; Hominidae.